AAGGAGGAGCAGAGUGCAGACAGGCCAACAGUCAGGUUGUCACCGUGUGAAGCUGUCCACGUCUCGUGCUGUACUACUGCUGUGCUGCAGCUGCCGCCACUGGCGUCCAUGCGAGAUUUCACGUGACCUCCUCUGUCCUGCCCUCUCUCCUUCCUGUCCCUGACUGCGCCGCGCAGCGAGUCCGCAAGACGUGCAGGACCGUGUGGAGACAGAACUCAGUCCUCACAAGAGAUGGCGAGGUUGUCUCCAGACUGCGACCGCCUUGAGGCUGGCGAUGGCUUUACUGUUGUUGCUAGCACCUGUUACCGGAGGCCAAAUCCUGGACGACCUAGUUGACGAUGGCGGCGACGAUUUCAUCAACUAUCGCGCCAAGCGUCUGUUCACCGACACCAGCAGCGACUGCUUGCGAUGCAUGAGUGCCUAUGACACAGUCAGCUGUCAGCGCUGCUGGAGCUCCAAGACCAACAUCAUCCCCUUCCACGGCAAGCGCUCCACACCCGUCCUCGUCCUCGCUACCCGGGAUGGCCAGCCUCUCGUGCGUCUGCAGCGCAGUAGUGGGUGCGGGUGCUGCUACAUGAGUCGCCUCUCCAACUAUCAAUGCUGUCACCUGUGCAGCCUGACAGCCAAACGCAGUAGUAAACGUAGCGCCGCCCUCGUGGCCGCUGGCUCCAUGAACCCCGUGUAAUGUCACGUGGAACUCAUCUGGAACUCCUAGAGGAGAGCUGUUAUAAUUUUCUCUGUCUAGCUAUACAAUUCAUUUUAUAAUUAUACAAUGCAUUGGAUAGUUGAGCAAUUCAUUUAUAUAACUAAAGAAUGGAUUAUAUAGCUAUACUAUUCAUUCUAUAACAUCAGAUUGCAUUCUUCAGUUAAAGAAUUCGUUCUGUAGAUAACAAAUAGGUAGAACUAAAGUAUUUUAUUUAUAUUAUGCUGGAAAGUUGCUAUCCAAUUGAUUUCAUAUAUACAAUUGAAUUAUAUAGCUAUAAAAUCCAUUCUCGGCUUUACAAUUUAAUUAUAUGAUUAUAGAAAGCAUUCUGUAAUAAUUAUUACAGAAUUAAAUUGUAUUCGGAACGAGGCUCAUAGAGUUCGGUAUGUGAAAGGUCGCUAAUCAGAAACCUCCAUACAUACAUCAACAAGGUAGGUGAGGGGAUACUUUCAUGAAGUGUCUACUCGUGCCAGGUGGUCUUUUAUUUUGUCUCUAAAUGCUGAUCGGAUCAUCCACGGGAUGUGAAGACACUUGCACAAAAUUUCCGCGCUUUUAUUAAGCCGAUAACAUAUUUUGAAUAAAUAAGAUGCCAGGGUAAUGUUAAGGGUUUUUUUUUUUUCACAGUAAUGACACAUUGUUUCUGCGGUGAUCUUGCAUGGCCAUGGAAGCAUUUACCUAAUUAAAUGUGAAGGAACGAUCUGCUAGAAUAUAUUGGUCAAGCACCCGCUUUAUGUCACGACAGUAACAGUUGAGAGUACAGGUUUCUAUCUAGUCUCAGGGCACGGAUAUUUCUUUCUCAUUCACCUCGCUAUUUUCUAAUCUACAGUCUAGUAUUUAGUAUUGAUGUUAACUGUACAAGACAAAUGAAUUAUUUUUUCUUUUACUGCCAUACUGUCCAGUGAGUUUGAAAUGACUUACUUGAACUAUUCCACAUAAACUCUUGAUGCCACAUUUAUCCACAGAGUUAUUAACAUAUGUUCUUAGUCCUGUCAUCGGCUGUAUCCUUUACAGCAUAAACGUAUCAAUGUACAAUCUUGAUGUCUGUGUUGUUGACCUCUUUCUGUGCAUGGUGAUGAUUGCAGUGCAUUUCUAGAAGGGAUGGGACGAGUGUUCACUGAGAUUUUGGGAAACAGAUGUAAAUCAAGCUUUAACCAGUCAUUAAAAAGAAAUUGACC
Long non-coding RNA from Pomacea canaliculata, 1878 nucleotides. RefSeq lists it as uncharacterized. NCBI's taxonomy places the organism in Eukaryota, Metazoa, Mollusca, Gastropoda, Architaenioglossa, Ampullariidae. The record is from RefSeq and is a predicted model, not a curated record. The transcript is spliced from 2 exons.